RNAcentral lists this long non-coding RNA (3118 nucleotides) under Setaria italica (foxtail millet). Its description in RNAcentral is "long non-coding RNA (SITA_LNC002659)". The record is from RNAcentral. Lineage: Eukaryota; Viridiplantae; Streptophyta; Magnoliopsida; Poales; Poaceae.
CCACCUGCGCGCCCCAAUCGUGCCCGACCACGAACACCUUUUGGAGGCGGAGGUGGUCGAGGAGCGCGACCAAGUCGCCGACAAUGUGGAAGAUGGAGUAGGCGGCUGGAUCGGCGGGGACGGAGGAGUCGCCGUAGCCGCGGAGGUCGGGGGCCAGCGCGCGGAAGCCACGGGCGGCGAGCGCGGCCAUCUGGUGACGCCAUGAGAGCCACAUCUCCGGGAAGCCGUGGACGAGGAGGACCGCCGGCCCGGUGGAGGGGCCGCUCUCGGCAACGUGGAGGGAGAUGCCGUUGAUGUCCGCGGUCCAUUGCCGCACCUCGCCGGUGGCUUCGGCCGCCAUGCUUGCGCUGCUCGAGUCGCUAGCGGCUCAAUCAGUCCGACAGAAACAUGCGGCCACUGAGUCACUGACAUAAACACAAAUGAUUAUCUGAACCUCCUGGAUCACACAUUUCACAUGUAGCUUUCAAGUCAGUGCCCAAGUUGACUGGCGCACUAAGGGGCUACUAGUUUGGAGCAGAUGGAUUAGAGAAUGUGCAUAACCUGAAAUAACACCAGGCAGCUAAAAUACAGAAAAAUCAAGCACCAAGUCCAAGUGGUACUUCACAUGGUUUCUAGAAAAAACAAACAAAACUCUUUUAUUCCUGUAUGCGAGCCAACAGAUGGCUUAGCAAUCACGGAUGCGUUUGGUUCACCUGGCUUAUUUUUAGUCCAUGUCACAUCCAAAAUUCAAAAUAAUAUGAGUUAAUUAUAAAACUAAUGGUACAGAUGGAGACUAAACGACAAAACAAAUUUAUUAAGCCUAAUUAAUCCAUCAUUAGCAAAUGUUUACUGUAGCAACACAUUGUCAAAUCAUAGACUAAUUAGGUUUAAUAGAUUCGUCUCGCAGUUUAGCCUCCACUUAUGUAAUAGAUUUUAUAAAUAAUCUACGUUUAAUACUUCUAAUUACUAUCUAAACAUUCGAUGUGACGAGUGCUGAAAAUAAGUCAAAGUAACCAAACGGGGCUUUAUUCAGUUAUUCUACGUUUCAGUUCAGGAAAAACUGGCUAACAGUCUCCCAAAGAUUUGUUGGUUUUCCCAUACACGACACGACUGCAGAGUAACAUCAUGCUGAUGAAGCCUCUAGCCUCUCUACUCGCUGGCAAACUUGUUCAGGUAGGAAAGUAUCUCAGAGUUCACUCUCUCGGCCUGCUCUUGCUGCAGGAAAUGGUGACCGUCGAUGAUGGCAACAUCAAGAUCUGGAACAUUGGACUUCAACCCCCCACUCUUGAUGUACUGCUCAAUUCCAAAGGACUUGGCACCGAUGUCCUUAUCGCCGGCGAUGAACUUGGCAGGCACAGUAAUUUUCGCACCGCUCCAUGGUGCAGUAAGCCUCCAGUUCCUGCAUUCACCACGCAUUACUAUUCAGAUGGGUGCAGCUGAAUGAAAUACCAGGAAGGCAGACAGAGUUUGAGGAAACUACACUACAUACAUGUCCAUCAUGCGGUAGUAGUUGAGGGGCCCUGUGAACCCAGACUUCUGAAACUUUUCGGCAUACUGGCUCAGCUCUUCCUCGGUGAUCCAGGGGAGUGGCGAGGAAGGUGCCUCGAGGAAGUCGAUGAUCUCUACUCCAGGAGGAGCAGUGAGGUUGUCGAAUUCAAUGGAGUAGAACUUCUUUAGCACGGUCGCAACGUCGUAACGAGCAAAUGCCCUUUCAGCUCUUCCAGGCUCCUGCAGACAUGAAAUUCUCGCAUGAGUGGCCUGCAAGAAGUUAAGUUGUAGCCUAGUGCCCACCAGGUACCCUGUCCUGAAAUUGCGAGUUUGAAGCAAAACAGAUGAGGCAGGCAAAGGAAGAUGAAGAUACCACCUGGAACUGCGUGAUGUAGAAGCCAUCACCGAGAUCCGCGAACGUCUCAGAAAUCGAGCGAGGGCUGCGGGGGAAGAAGGGAAUCCCGAUGGUGACGACGGCGCGCACCCGGUCCGACCGGAACAGGCAGAGGUGCCACGCCACCUGCGCGCCCCAGUCGUGCCCAACCACGAACACCUGCGCCGCCGCCCAAUAAAUCCAUCCAUGACGAGCACCAACAAGGGAGAGCUCAAUCAAGAUCACGAAUUCACGAUGCGUGAGGUGACUCAGGUGAGUAACCAACAGCAGCANNNNNNNNNNNNNNNNNNNNNNNNNNNNNNNNNNNNNNNNNNNNNNNNNNNNNNNNNNNNNNNNNNNNNNNNNNNNNNNNNNNNNNNNNNNNNNNNNNNNCGUCGCCGACGAUGUGGAGAUGGAGUAGGCGGCGGGGUCGGCGGGGACGGAGGAGUCGCCGUAGCCGCGGAGGUCGGGGGCGACGGCGCGGAAGCCGCGGGCGGCGAGCGCGGCCAUCUGGUGGCGCCAGGAGAGCCAGAGCUCCGGGAAGCCAUGGAGGAGGAGCACCACCGUCCCAUCCGCGGGCCCCUGCUCGGCGACGUGGAUGGAGACGCCGUUGACGUCCGCGUUCCAGUGCCGCACCUCGACCGCGCCGCCGCCGUCCAUGCUUGGCUCGCCGCUCUUGCUUCCUCUGGUUGGCUGCUACGUCGGUCACGGGUCAGUCAAUAUGCUCUCGCUAUCCACGUUGUAGAAAAAGAAUGGCCAAAGAUUUUAAAUCUUGUACCAAACAAAUAAUAAUUAUUUAAAUUAUCUUGUGAAUUUUCUUUUGCAUAUCAUGACAUCCUUUUCAACAAGUCAGCUCUAGCGUUGGUAUCGAUUUGGAUCUAAGCUUCAAGUCAUCGAGUGCAAUUAAAUUAACAUUUUUAGAGACGUGGGAGCUUUCCUUUUGGAUUAAGGUGACAAGCUGAUUAGGUGAGCAUGAAAAUAUUUUUAUACAAUAUAGAUAGCAUAGAGAUAGCUGGGAACAUACAAAUUUACAAACAGUUGGAAUUGUUGAUGCUACCAAACAGAGAAUCUGGAGACGACUUACAAAAUGAUCCUGUUGUAUGAUCAUUGGCUUAUCCAUCGACUUCAGAUUCCCAGCUGAAGCACUAUUUUUCUUUUUCCUCCAGAAGCAAUCUACGAGCCAGAAUAAUUUCAUUUACGCGUUGAAAUACAGGGCAGGCCUCAACGACGACCGCAGCCAGCAACGGAUUCUUGCAACGAAAAAUGGAACUAGCAUUG